UACAGAGGUCCCAAGCGUUGUUCGGAUUCACUGGGCGUAAAGGGUGCGUAGGCGGUCGGGUAAGUCUGAUGUGAAAUCUCACAGCUUAACUGUGAAACUGCAUUGGAUACUAUCCGGCUAGAGGAAUGGAGGGGAGACUGGAAUACUUGGUGUAGCAGUGAAAUGCGUAGAUAUCAAGUGGAACACCAGUGGCGAAGGCGAGUCUCUGGACAUUUCCUGACGCUGAGGCACGCAAGCCAGGGGAGCAAACGGG
RNAcentral lists this ribosomal RNA (253 nucleotides) under uncultured bacterium. RNAcentral describes it as "partial 16S ribosomal RNA". It matches the Rfam family "Bacterial small subunit ribosomal RNA", at positions 524 to 776 of the family's 1533-position model. The record is from RNAcentral.